RNAcentral lists this ribosomal RNA (425 nucleotides) under uncultured bacterium. Its description in RNAcentral is "partial 16S ribosomal RNA". It matches the Rfam family "Bacterial small subunit ribosomal RNA", at positions 354 to 796 of the family's 1533-position model. The record is from RNAcentral.
GUGGGGAAUAUUGCGCAAUGGGCGAAAGCCUGACGCAGCGACGCCGCGUGAGCGAUGAAGGCCUUAGGGUUGUAAAGCUCUUUCGUGGGGGAAGAUAAUGACUGUACCCCAAGAAGAAGCCCCGGCUAACUCCGUGCCAGCAGCCGCGGUAAUACGGAGGGGGCUAGCGUUGUUCGGAAUUACUGGGCGUAAAGCGCACGUAGGCGGACUGGAAAGUCAGGGGUGAAAUCCCGGGGCUCAACCUCGGAACUGCCUUUGAUACUGGGUGUCUUGAGUAUGAGAGAGGUGUGUGGAACUCCGAGUGUAGAGGUGAAAUUCGUAGAUAUUCGGAAGAACACCAGUGGCGAAGGCGACACACUGGCCCAUUACUGACGCUGAGGCGCGAAAGCGUGGGGAGCAAACAGGAUUAGAAACCCUAGUAGUCC